This is a long non-coding RNA of Nycticebus coucang (slow loris), 1100 nucleotides long. RefSeq lists it as uncharacterized. The transcript has 3 exons. The record is from RefSeq and is a predicted model, not a curated record. Lineage: Eukaryota; Metazoa; Chordata; Mammalia; Primates; Lorisidae.
GAAAUUUGCAACCGAAGAGAGAAACAAUCUGAUUUCAGUCAUAAAAGACUUAUUCCUGAUGCUGUGUAGAGAACAGACUCAGAGUGAGCAGGGGCCUCUGGAGGCUACUGAAAUGAUCCAGGCAAGAGUUUUUGGCUGGGGCCAGGUUUGAACGCACCACCUCCAGUAUAUGGGGCUGGUGCCCUACUCCUUUGAGCCACAGGCACCGCCCCAGGUAUUCUCUCUUUACCAACUGGCCAAGGCAACAAAUAAACCAGGAAGGAACAGCAGCUCCAAGACACACCUUGUUCCAGAGGACCUGGAUGUAAUUCCAGGCAUGUCCAUCUAACCUUUACAGUAAGAAACAACACCCCCCAGGGACCACCUACCUGAUGGAUCACCGCACAUGAGUAGAUACAUUGUAGGCACCACCCACUACCACUGAAGCUGCAGAAACAAACCCAGCCCUGUAGUAAGAAUUCUUUUGCUGUUCCUUUUGCUGUACACAAGAAGCUCUGUCAAUACAACUGAAGAACGCUGGCUGGGGGUUGGACACCAAGCUUUUAGUCCUGACUUCACAAUCACUCAAGGACAUUAAAAACCAGUCUCCUCUCCUUGCUGGCUACCAGUUCCCCAAAUUGAAUGGACAGUAAAAGGCUUGUGCCCUUGCUGGUGGCUUCUCAUGUGCCCAUCAUAGCAAAACUCACUUCCCCAACCAUGACCUUGGCAGAGGGUACCAGGUGAGGACACCAGGACUUCCCAGUAAACCCAAGGAAAUGCCACAAGAAAGAGUUCUCCCAUUUUUCAAAGAUUCGCUUGUGUUUACAGAACAUCCUUCUGAAAUCAACAUUGGGAGAUAUCCCCCAAGAGGCAGCUCCACCCUGGCUGGACUCUCCCUGCCUCUCAGCUUCCAACUAUCCCACCAGCUGGAGUGUACGAUGACUUUAUCACCUAAAGGAGCACAUUUUCUCCUGGGAAAUUUUUUUGUUUAAAGAUAUUAUUGUUGUUAAGAAUAAUUAAGUAUCUUUCAAAAGGCAAAUAUAUAUAUAAAACUUUAGAUGGUCUACAAUUCACUUCUUCUAUUAGUACAGGUCACAGAAGGCUGACUGAUUUCUCCCAUG